UUUGUUGUUGUUGUUUUCGUUUAAACCGCACCCGAUCAUCAAUUAUGAAAUACAAUAGAAUGAUAAUGCAAAUCGAAUAAUUCGAAUUUUGCGCAUUUCAUUUCGAGUGCUUUGUUUGUUCUCGCUAUACAGUGUGUUUUAUUCUUAUUUCGGUAUCGGUACAACAAAUAAUUGAUCGCAACCUGUUUUUUUUUUUUUUUGUUUUGGACAACAACUCCGCUAUUCUGGACGGGAGAAACCAUUCAAACUGAGUCGCUGAUCAAUUUGUCAAAUAUUUGUGACCAUUGAUGUAAAUUGCUACAAAUCGACUUUGGGGGCUGCGUCAUGUUGUUGUCGCUGUCUGUGCAACAUGUAGAACAACAACAACAACAACAACAACGACAACAAGAAGCACAUAAACAAUUAUCUGGCUGCGAGAAUUGGCCAAGAGCAAUAAUAACAUUAAAAACAAACUAAAGCGAAUAACUCGACAACGAAACUCAGAAAGACAUUUUCAAUACAGAGAAAUAUAUAUAAAAAU
Drosophila albomicans is the source of this 520-nucleotide long non-coding RNA. RefSeq lists it as uncharacterized. The record is from RefSeq and is a predicted model, not a curated record. NCBI's taxonomy places the organism in Eukaryota, Metazoa, Arthropoda, Insecta, Diptera, Drosophilidae. The transcript is spliced from 3 exons.